This 597-nucleotide ribosomal RNA is filed under the name Salmonella enterica. Its description in RNAcentral is "partial 23S ribosomal RNA". It matches the Rfam family "Bacterial large subunit ribosomal RNA", at positions 593 to 1191 of the family's 2925-position model. Lineage: Bacteria; Pseudomonadati; Pseudomonadota; Gammaproteobacteria; Enterobacterales; Enterobacteriaceae. The record is from RNAcentral. RNAcentral also lists the same sequence under 1 other name.
GUGACUGCGUACCUUUUGUAUAAUGGGUCAGCGACUUAUAUUCUGUAGCAAGGUUAACCGAAUAGGGGAGCCGGAGGGAAACCGAGUCUUAACCGGGCGUUAAGUUGCAGGGUAUAGACCCGAAACCCGGUGAUCUAGCCAUGGGCAGGUUGAAGGUUGGGUAACACUAACUGGAGGACCGAACCGACUAAUGUUGAAAAAUUAGCGGAUGACCUGUGGCUGGGGGUGAAAGGCCAAUCAAACCGGGAGAUAGCUGGUUCUCCCCGAAAGCUAUUUAGGUAGCGCCUCGUGAAUUCAUCUCCGGGGGUAGAGCACUGUUUCGGCUAGGGGGCCAUCCCGGCUUACCAACCCGAUGCAAACUGCGAAUACCGGAGAAUGUUAUCACGGGAGACACACGGCGGGUGCUAACGUCCGUCGUGAAGAGGGAAACAACCCAGACCGCCAGCUAAGGUCCCAAAGUCAUGGUUAAGUGGGAAACGAUGUGGGAAGGCCCAGACAGCCAGGAUGUUGGCUUAGAAGCAGCCAUCAUUUAAAGAAAGCGUAAUAGCUCACUGGUCGAGUCGGCCUGCGCGGAAGAUGUAACGGGGCUAAACCAUG